AGUUGAUUAGCUUAUAAGUAAAGCAUAUAUUUUGAAAAUAUAAGAAAGAUAAAUAAUUUAUUAGCUU
Molecule: transfer RNA, 67 nt
Filed under: Dryodurgades formosana
Lineage: Eukaryota; Metazoa; Arthropoda; Insecta; Hemiptera; Cicadellidae
Description: tRNA-Ser
Source: RNAcentral